GCACAGAUGGUGGAAUAGGUAGACACGCAGGCUUGAGGUGCUUGUGAAGUAAUUCGUGAGGGUUCGAGUCCCUUUCUGUGCACCA
RNAcentral lists this transfer RNA (85 nucleotides) under Candidatus Faecisoma merdavium. Its description in RNAcentral is "tRNA-Leu". It matches the Rfam family "tRNA". From Rfam's summary of the family: Transfer RNA (tRNA) molecules are approximately 80 nucleotides in length. The record is from RNAcentral. Lineage: Bacteria; Bacillati; Mycoplasmatota.